Molecule: ribosomal RNA, 246 nt
Filed under: uncultured bacterium
Lineage: Bacteria
Description: partial 16S ribosomal RNA
Rfam family: Bacterial small subunit ribosomal RNA
Source: RNAcentral
GAUCAUGGCUCAGAUUGAACGCUGGCGGCAGGCUUAACACAUGCAAGUCGAACGGUAACAUAAAGAAGCUUGCUUCUUUGAUGACGAGUGGCGGACGGGUGAGUAAUGCUUGGGAAUCUAGCUUAUGGGAGGGGGAUAACUACGGGAAACUGUAGCUAAUACCGCGUAAUAUCGAAAGAUUAAAGUGGUGGGACCUUCGGGCCGCAUGCCAUAAGAUGAGCCCAAGUGGGAUUAGGUAGUUGGUGG